CGUCAUUCUUUCUUUCCAAGCGUUCUGUCUAUUGAGAUCUAUUGACAACAACAACUUAUGAAACGUCAGAUUAUAAUGAGAUAGUUCGGUGUUGACAAUAAAAAUGGUCUGUGUUCCCUGCCUCGUGAUUCCGUUUGUUCUGUGGUUCUUUCAUAAGUAUGUUCAGCCGCUCAUUGUUAAGUUUUGGCCAUGGAAAUCCCAGGCAACCGUUGAUUCGGGAACAAAUUCGGAUGGAGACACCAAAAAUGUAAAGGUGGAUCAGAAUGGGCAGACAGCCCAAAUGCAGAAUGGACUGUCCACAAAUUGCCAUGCUCAAACAGUGGGAGAUGGUGAUAAAAAGACAAACUGAUGGAAAUGAAUUGUGUAAAAGUGUAAAAAAUUUAAAGAAAUAAAUGCAGACACAGGUGUUCCAUGCCAUAGCACACAGUUUUGGACACAUCAAGAUAAUUCAGUAAUUAAGAUUGUUUCAGACAUCAUUUGUGGACAUUUUCAACAGCAUUUGUAUGCAUUAGUUUUAAAUCAGGUGCACAGGAGAUAUAUAUAUCUUAUGGAAUUUUAAAUGAACAUGAUGCUUGUGAACACAAAUUAAAGACAUAUUGACUGUUGAUAAGGUUUUUAUUUAUAAAAAAACGUUUAUUACAUUACAUUUAUCUUAGCCAUUAAAUAAUAUUGUACAUACAGUCACAUGUAUAGUUUGUGUUGUUAUGUCAAGAUUAAAAAAAUAAUUUAUUGAUGUUAUUUUAUUCUAAAUUUUGCAUCAAGUGGAGUAAUUUUUAUGUUGUAUUUGAUUUUAAGCUCACCUCUGUCGUAUUUUGUCUGUUGUCAACAUUUACCUUGUUAACAUAUAAGAUGUCACAUUUAUUGUCAAAUCUUCAUGAAAUUCAGAAGAUUUGUCCCAAUCAUAUAUUAGCUUAGGUCGAAAUGGUGUGGGUCUGUUGAAAAGCAUGGCAUCCAGGGUUCGAAGAAGUUUUCCAAAUAUGUUAAAAAUUCUUAUCACUUAUAUACAGUUGUUAUUAUGCCCCCCUUCGAAGAAGAGGGAGUAUAUUGCUUUGUUCAUGUCGGUCGGUCGGUCUGUCGGUCGGUCGGUCUGUCGGUCGGUCCGUCCACCAGGUGGUUGUCAGACGAUAACUAAAGAACACUUAGGCCUAGGAUCAUGAAACUUCAUAGGUACAUUGAUCAUGACUCACAGAUGACCCCUAUUGAUUUUGAGGUCACUAGGUCAAAGGUCAAGGUCACUGCGACCCGAAAUAGUAAAAUGGUUUCCGGAUGAUAAUUCAAGAACGCCUAUGCCUAGGAUCAUGAAACUUCAUAGGUAGAUUGAUCAUGACUAGCAGAUGACCCCUAUUGAUUUUCAGUUCACUAGGUCAAAGGUCAAGGUCACGGUGACCCGAAAUAGUAAAAUGUUUUCCGGAUGUUAAUUCAAGAACCCUUAUGCCUAGGAUCAUGAAACUUGAUAGGUAGAUUGAUCAUGACUAGCAGAUGCCCCCUAUUGAUUUUCAGGUCACUAGGUCAAAGGUCAAGGUCACGGUGACCCGAAAUAGUAAAAUGGUUUCCGGAUGAUAACUCAAGAACGCUUAUGCCUAGGAUCAUGAAACUUGAUAGGUACAUUGAUCAUGACUGGCAGAUGACCCCUAUUGAUUUUCAGGUCACUAGUUAAUAUUUUUGUUAAAUUAUGUCAAUCAGGGUAGUUUCAUGGAAAUCAACUCUACUGAAAUUUAAAAAAAAUUGUUUUGAGCUUGCUGUUGUAACAAUAGAAAAUUAAGCAAUAUAUUUCAAUUACAAUUUGAAAAGCUUGUUACUUAUCAUUGGAUGUGCUCACUAACAACAUCACUAUUCCUUAUAAAUUUGAUGCAAUGCCUUUCACACAUCACAUAAUUAAGAAAAUUUACUACAAAGAAAAAUAACAACUGAAUAAACGUAUCUUGUACAUUACAUUGUAUUGUAUAUUGUUCAAAUGUGUAACUGAACAUGUUUACAUUGAACAAAAAUAUGCUUAUGUAAAUCAACCAAUAAAUUGGGCUACCUGGCUCUGGUAAACAAUAAGUGCAAAAUACCUACAAUUUUUUCUAUGGAAACCAUAUGCAUGUAGGUGUACAACUUAAUGUCUGUAUAUAUAUAUUUUUUUAGCAAUUGUUCCAGUCAUUUGUUUUAUGUAAAAAUCAAUAAAAAUGUCCUUUUUAAUAAAAUUUGUCAAAAGGUC
This is a long non-coding RNA of Dreissena polymorpha, 2200 nucleotides long. RefSeq lists it as uncharacterized. The transcript has 2 exons. The record is from RefSeq and is a predicted model, not a curated record. NCBI's taxonomy places the organism in Eukaryota, Metazoa, Mollusca, Bivalvia, Myida, Dreissenidae.